UCCAGACUCCUACGGGAGGCAGCAGUGGGGGAUAUUGCACAAUGGGGGGAACCCUGAUGCAGCGACGCCGCGUGGGUGAAGGAGCGUUUCGGCGCGUAAAGCCCUAUCGGCAGGGAAGAAGGAGGACGGUACCUGACUAAGAAGCCCCGGCUAACUACGUGCCAGCAGCCGCGGUAAUACGUAGGGGGCAAGCGUUAUCCGGAUUUACUGGGUGUAAAGGGGGCGCAGACGGCAGCGCAAGCCAGGAGUGAAAGCCCGGGGCCCACCCCCGGGACUGCUCUUGGAACUGCGCGGCUGGAGUGCAGGAGGGGCAGGCGGAAUUCCUGGUGUAGCGGUGAAAUGCGUAGAUAUUAGGAGGAACACCAGUGGCGAAGGCGGCCUGCUGGACGAUGACUGACGUUGAGGCUCGAAAGCGUGGGGAGCAAACAGGAUUAGAUACCCCAGUAA
Molecule: ribosomal RNA, 447 nt
Filed under: uncultured bacterium
Lineage: Bacteria
Description: partial 16S ribosomal RNA
Rfam family: Bacterial small subunit ribosomal RNA
Source: RNAcentral